CUCCCGGUGAUCCUGCCGGACCCGACUGCUAUCAGAGUGGGACUAAGCCAUGCGAGUCAACAUAGCAAUAUGUGGCAUACGGCUCAGUAACACGUAGUCAACAUGCCCAGGGGACGCGGAUAACCUCGGGAAACUGAGGAUAAACCGCGAUAGGUCAUCACUUCUGGAAUGGGUAAUGACUUAAAUCUAUAUGGCCCCUGGAUUGGACUGCGGCCGAUCAGGCUGUUGGCGAGGUAAUGGCCCACCAAACCUGUAACCGGUACGGGCUCUGAGAGGAGGAGCCCGGAGAUGGGCACUGAGACAAGGGCCCAGGCCCUAUGGGGCGCAGCAGGCGCGAAACCUCUGCAAUAGGCGAAAGCUUGACAGGGUUACUCUGAGUGAUUUCCGUUAAGGAGAUCUUUUGGCACCUCUAAAAAUGGUGCAGAAUAAGGGGUGGGCAAGUCUGGUGUCAGCCGCCGCGGUAAUACCAGCACCCCGAGUGGUCGGGAUGUUUAUUGGGCCUAAAGCAUCCGUAGCCGGUUCUACAAGUCUUCCGUUAAAUCCACCUGCUUAACAGAUGGGCUGCGGAAGAUACUAUAGAGCUAGGAGGCGGGAGAGGCAAGCGGUACUCGAUGGGUAGGGGUAAAAUCCGUUGAUCCAUUGAAGACCACCAGUGGCGAAGGCGGCUUGCCAGAACGCGCUCGACGGUGAGGGAUGAAAGCUGGGGGAGCAAACCGGAUUAGAUACCCGGGUAGUCCCAGCUGUAAACGAUGCAGACUCGGUGAUGAGUUGGCUUAUUGCUAACUCAGUGCCGCAGGGAAGCCGUUAAGUUUGCCGCCUGGGGAGUACGGUCGCAAGACUGAAACUUAAAGGAAUAUGGCGGGGGAGCA
Molecule: ribosomal RNA, 869 nt
Filed under: uncultured archaeon
Lineage: Archaea
Description: bacterial SSU rRNA
Rfam family: Archaeal small subunit ribosomal RNA
Source: RNAcentral